Molecule: ribosomal RNA, 431 nt
Filed under: uncultured bacterium
Lineage: Bacteria
Description: partial 16S ribosomal RNA
Rfam family: Bacterial small subunit ribosomal RNA
Source: RNAcentral
AACGAACGCUGGCGGCAGGCUUAACACAUGCAAGUCGAGCGCCCCGCAAGGGGAGCGGCAGACGGGUGAGGAACGCGUGGGAACGUACCUUUUGGUGCGGAACAACUCCGGGAAACUGGAGCUAAUACCGGACAAGCCCUAACGGGGAAAGUGUUAUCGCCGAAAGAGCGGCGCGCGUCUGAUUAGCUGGUUGGGGGGGUCACGGCACACCAAGGCGACGAGCAGGAGCUGGUGUGAGAGGAUGAGCAGCCAGACUGGGGCUGAGACCCGGCCCCGACUCCUACGGGAGGCAGCAGUGGGGAAUAUUAGACGAUGGGCGCAAGCCUGAUCCCGCCAUGCCGCGUGAGUGAUGAAGGCCUUAGGGUUGUAAAGCUCUUUUGUCCGGGAAGAUAAUGACUGUACCGGAAGAAUAAGCCCCGGCUAACUUCGUG